AUAUUAUUUUAGAUUUUUAUCAAAAUUUUACACAGAAACUAAGCAAGGCCAGGCCCGGUUAGUACUUGGAUGGGAGACCGCUCUGAAUAUCAGGCA
RNAcentral lists this ribosomal RNA (96 nucleotides) under Periophthalmus magnuspinnatus. Lineage: Eukaryota; Metazoa; Chordata; Actinopteri; Gobiiformes; Gobiidae. The record is from RNAcentral.